Molecule: unclassified non-coding RNA, 324 nt
Filed under: soil metagenome
Description: partial contains 5.8S ribosomal RNA, internal transcribed spacer 2, and large subunit ribosomal RNA
Rfam family: 5.8S ribosomal RNA (bases 1-120)
Source: RNAcentral
GAUGAAGAACGUAGCGAAAUGCGAUAAGUAGUGUGAAUUGCAGAAUUCCGUGAAUCAUCGAAUCUUUGAACGCACAUUGCGCCUUCUGGUAUUCCGCAGGGCAUGCCUGUUCGAGCGUCAUUUCAACCCUCAAGCCUCGCUUGGUGUUGGGCCCUGCCCGCCGCGGCCGGCCCUAAAGAUAGUGGCGGCGCCGCCUGGCCCUCAGCGUAGUACAGCUCUCGCUCCAGGGUCCGGCGGCAGCCUGCCAGAACCCCCCAACUCUGUGGUUGACCUCGGAUCAGGUAGGGAUACCCGCUGAACUUAAGCAUAUCAAUAAGCGGAGGA